This 428-nucleotide RNase P RNA is filed under the name Prevotellaceae bacterium. RNAcentral describes it as "RNase P RNA component class A". It matches the Rfam family "Bacterial RNase P class A". From Rfam's summary of the family: Ribonuclease P (RNase P) is a ubiquitous endoribonuclease, found in archaea, bacteria and eukarya as well as chloroplasts and mitochondria. Its best characterised activity is the generation of mature 5'-ends of tRNAs by cleaving the 5'-leader elements of precursor-tRNAs. Cellular RNase Ps are ribonucleoproteins. The record is from RNAcentral. Lineage: Bacteria; Pseudomonadati; Bacteroidota; Bacteroidia; Bacteroidales; Prevotellaceae.
GCAGUAAGCCGGUUUGUCGCUGUUUCGUUUGUGCGAAGCAGAGGAAAGUCCGGGCAACGCAGAGCAGCAUCCUUCCUAACGGGAAGUCAUUCGCGAGGGUGAAGUAGCGUAACAGAAAAUAACCGCAGAGCCCCUCUUAAUUCUCCCUUCGGGGGAGUUCCCCUCUCCUUUGGAGAGGGGCUGGAGGUGAGGCUUUGUAAGGGUGAAAAGGUGAGGUAAGAGCUUACCGGAAAUUAGUGGUGACACAGUUUGCCGUACGCCUGAUGCGUUGCAAGAUCGUGUAUAUCGGCGCAUUGUAGGGUUGCUCGCCCGAUGUCGAGGGGUAGAUUGCUGGAGGCAACCGGCAACGGUUGUUCGAGAUAAAUGACAAACGGUUCGAUUGAUUUUUCAACGAAUUACAGAACCCGGCUUAUAGGCUUGCUGCACAU